Molecule: long non-coding RNA, 651 nt
Organism: Symphalangus syndactylus (siamang)
Lineage: Eukaryota; Metazoa; Chordata; Mammalia; Primates; Hylobatidae
Source: RefSeq, a predicted model, not a curated record
GAUGGGGACCUCCCUGACCCUGCAGGGGGAAGAAGUAAGGUAAAGGCAAUGCCCAGAGCCUGGCAUCCUGAAGUUUGUCCCCAGACAACUCACCCCACUCUUUGUGCAUUGGGGUCCCAACUUCAUCUGUCAGAGACCCCUGUCCCCACCUGCCAUCUUGCCCCACACCAAGACGGCUGCUUGUGCUUAGGAAGCUAACACUGGAUACCUACUGAGAGGUCUUGCCUUGGCCUUUCCUUCCUGGCUCAAAACCUGCGGAUUCACCUCACAGGUGAUAACUGCUGUGCCUGCCUCAUCACAAUGUUCUCAGGAUUUAGCAAGCUCUUAUGAUCAGCACCUUUCAAGCAUUUGUAUGCACGAGAAGCAGUGGGGGAUUUGUGAAAACCUAGGUUCCGACUCGUUUAUGUUGGUCUGGAGCCUGGGAUUCUGCAGUGCAAACAACACUCCAGGUGGAGUCUGUGCUGCUGGUCUGUGGACCAACUUUGAGCAGUGAGGAUACAGAUCAAAAGUCAGACGCUUUCCUCUCAGGGAACUUACCUGAUUCUCUGCAACAGGUUGAGAACGAGGCCAGGAGUGCCCCUUUACAGAGCAUGUUGUGUGUGCCAAACCUGGUGCUCAGCCCCACCACACUCCCCUCACUGAGCUGGGAGG